CCCCCAUGCUUCCUCCAACUAAAACUAAAAACUACUAGCGUCUGCGUGAGAAUUCCAGCCGCAAACACGCCUCCGACUACGUAAUAAAUCCCAUCCAUAUAAUUACAGGCAGAUAUAAUUUAAAGGUAACUGGUUAUAGUUAUAACAUACUGAGUUAAGCUAAAUGGCUACUACAUACCAGCCCCUAAUUGUUCUGACUAUAUAACGAAGCAAUUACUAAUAGACAUUAAAAAAGGUAGCUAUAAAAGCUUAACAUAUAUC
Molecule: long non-coding RNA, 261 nt
Organism: Amblyraja radiata (thorny skate)
Lineage: Eukaryota; Metazoa; Chordata; Chondrichthyes; Rajiformes; Rajidae
Exons: 2
Source: RefSeq, a predicted model, not a curated record